This is a long non-coding RNA of Papaver somniferum (opium poppy), 938 nucleotides long. RefSeq lists it as uncharacterized. NCBI's taxonomy places the organism in Eukaryota, Viridiplantae, Streptophyta, Magnoliopsida, Ranunculales, Papaveraceae. The record is from RefSeq and is a predicted model, not a curated record. The transcript has 2 exons.
UGGUGUGGACUUAUGUUGGACCGACUCUCUCUCUACCCAAAAUAUCUAGCUAAAGUUUUUCUCUUCGGGAAAGCUCGAAGCUGCUCAGAUCUACUUGGAUCUUCAGGGAUCUAAAUACAUCUGAGCAGUACUAAUACAAAUCUUAUAGCUUUAUUGGUUUUUGAUAUUUUCAGUAGAUUAGAAUUUCUUCUUAUUUCAUCUCAAACUCUUAAAUUCAUCAUGUCUAACCCGCUCAAUCUCGGCUAAACUCCUGGUUAGCCGGCCUAAUUAACCUUGAUUAAUGCUUCAAUCAAUAGAUCUAUUCCAAGGGAUUUCAUCUUCCUUUGCGUUUUUGUGUUGUGGUAUGGAGGUAGAUAUGAAGAUCUGAAUCAUGGAGGCUAUUCUUCUUGUAUACCUAUUUGUUGUUGCGUUUUCGGGAUUCAAUACUAAUCUUGUUUCUGAGUUGAUUACAUCCUUAUCAUUUUUACUGUUGGUACAGAAAUCACUUCCAUUCGUUACAAUAAGAGAUUAGAUUCUACUUAAAGACUCAGUCAAAGCUAAAGUCUCAGAAGUUAUGGAUCAAGCCGUAAAGCAAAGGAGCAAACAUAUAUCACUCGGACAGCUCAUCGCAACAUCAAGGUACAAAGUCAUGACUAACAACCUCGAUUAACUGCAUCGGACGCCACUACCUCCAUCUGAUUCCUGUGGACAUUGCAGUGUCGAUAAAAAACAUUGCUUUUCUUGUGGAAAGCAUUGAUCGAAGGCCUUUCGACCUUCGAAACCAACAUCCGCCACCGAUGUAACUUUGAACCGAAGAAAGCUAUUCUGCUCCAGUAUCAUGUUAUUGUGGAUUCAUGGCUUACCAAUCUAAUUGUAAUUGAUGAAUCCUGGGGUAUUAUAUACCCUCAUGUAAUAUCCCUUUAGUAAUUUAAUAAAUUCUAUGCUUUUUUUGUUUUUGA